Molecule: ribosomal RNA, 406 nt
Filed under: uncultured bacterium
Lineage: Bacteria
Description: partial 16S ribosomal RNA
Rfam family: Bacterial small subunit ribosomal RNA
Source: RNAcentral
AUUGAACGCUGGCGGCAGGCUUAACACAUGCAAGUCGAGCGAGCGGCGGACGGGUGAGUAAUGUCUGGGAAACUGCCUGAUGGAGGGGGAUAACUCCUGGCAACGGUAGCUAAUACCGCAUACCAUCCGGUGUGCCCAGAUGGGAUUAGCUAGUAGGUGGGGUAAUGGCUCACCUAGGCGCCGAUCCCUAGCUGGUCUGCGAGGAUGACCAGCCACACUGGAACUGAGACACGGUCCAGAGUCCUACGGGAGGCAGGAGUGGGGAAUAUUGCACAAUGGGCGCAAGCCUGAUGCAGCCAGGCCGCGGGUGUGAAGAAGGCCUUCGGGUUGUAAAGCACUUGCAGCGAGGAGGCGUUACUCGCAGAAGAAGCACCGGCUAACUCCGUGCCAGCAGCCGCGGUAAGUC